AUAAUUAAAACUUUUAACAACGGAUCUCUUGGUUCUGGCAUCGAUGAAUAACGCAGCGAAAUGCGAUAAGUAAUGUGAAUUGCAGAAUUCAGUGAAUCAUCGAAUCUUUGAACGCACAUUGCGCCCGCCAGCAUUCUGGCGGGCAUGCCUGUUCGAGC
This 158-nucleotide ribosomal RNA is filed under the name Colletotrichum graminicola. RNAcentral describes it as "5.8S ribosomal RNA". It matches the Rfam family "5.8S ribosomal RNA". Rfam says of the family: 5.8S ribosomal RNA (5.8S rRNA) is a component of the large subunit of the eukaryotic ribosome. The record is from RNAcentral. Lineage: Eukaryota; Fungi; Ascomycota; Sordariomycetes; Glomerellales; Glomerellaceae.